AGAUGAGGGUAGCAUGGUUAUGUGCAAGAAAUUGAUUUGGGUCCGCAUGCCUGCUUCUAAUGAUCUCUUAUUUAGGAGCUUGGUUAUGACCUACAUUU
This is a small nucleolar RNA of 98 nucleotides. It matches the Rfam family "Small nucleolar RNA snoR100". The record is from Rfam.